GCAGAAGCGCCGUCGUUGGAGAGGCGGGGCGGGCUGUAAACCCGUUGCCACGCGCUGAGCAGGUUCGAAUCCUGCCUUCUGCA
Molecule: transfer RNA, 83 nt
Filed under: Kribbella sp. VKM Ac-2569
Lineage: Bacteria; Bacillati; Actinomycetota; Actinomycetes; Propionibacteriales; Kribbellaceae
Also listed under: 1 other name
Description: tRNA-Tyr
Rfam family: tRNA
About the family: Transfer RNA (tRNA) molecules are approximately 80 nucleotides in length. Their secondary structure includes four short double-helical elements and three loops (D, anti-codon, and T loops). Further hydrogen bonds mediate the characteristic L-shaped molecular structure. tRNAs have two regions of fundamental functional importance: the anti-codon, which is responsible for specific mRNA codon recognition, and the 3' end, to which the tRNAs corresponding amino acid is attached (by aminoacyl-tRNA synthetases). tRNAs cope with the degeneracy of the genetic code in two manners: having more than one tRNA (with a specific anti-codon) for a particular amino acid; and 'wobble' base-pairing, i.e. permitting non-standard base-pairing at the 3rd anti-codon position.
Source: RNAcentral